This 1426-nucleotide ribosomal RNA is filed under the name metagenome. RNAcentral describes it as "bacterial SSU rRNA". It matches the Rfam family "Archaeal small subunit ribosomal RNA". The record is from RNAcentral.
GUUGAUCCUGCGGGAGGUUGCUGCUAUUUGGGUUCGACUAAGCCAUGCAAGUUUGCUUUCUUACGAAGGCAGCAGAAUGCUCAGUAACACGUCAAUAACCUGCCCUUAGGUUCAGGAUAACCUUGGGAAACUGAGGCUAAAACUGGAUAGGGGAAUUGUAUUGGAAUAUUUUUUCCCUUAAAAGCAACGCCUAAGGGUGGGUUGGCGGUCGAUUAGGUUGUUGGUAGGGUAAAGGCCUACCAAGCCAAAGAUCGAUAGGAGCCUUGAGAGAGGUAGCUCCGAGAAGGGCACUGAGGCACUGGCCCUAGCCCUACGGGGUGCAGCAGGCGCGAAACCCUUACAAUGCACGAAAGUGUGAUAAGGGAACCCUAAGUGCUUUACUUUUGUAAAGCUUUUUUUAAGAGUAAAAAUCUUAAAGAAUAAGUGGUGGGCAAGACGGGUGCCAGCCGCCGCGGUAACACCCGCGCCACAAGUGGCAAUCAUAAUUAUUGGGCCUAAAGCGUCCGUAGCUUGAUUAGCAAAUCUUCUGUGAAAUUGUUAAGCUUAACUUAACAAAGUGCAGGAGAGACUACUAAUCUUGGAACUGGGAGGAGUUAGAAGUAUUUCUGGGGGAGCGGUAAAAUGCUAUAAUCCCAGAAGGACUACCUGUGGCGAAGGCGCCUAACUAGAACAGAUUCGACAGUGAGGGACGAAAGCUAGGGGAGCGAUCCGGAUUAGAUACCCGAGUAGUCCUAGCCGUAAACGCUGCGAGCAAGGUGUUACAUAUUCUUCGUGAAUAUGUAGUGUCGAAAUGAAGAUGUUAAGCUCGCCGCCUGGGAAGUAUAGUCGCAAGACCGAAACUUAAAGGAAUUGGCGGGGGAGCACUACAAGGGGUGCGGCGUGCGGUUUAAUCUAAUUCAACGCAGAAAAUCUCACCAGAGGCGACGGCAGGAUGAAAGUCAGGUUGAAGACUUUACUUGACGAGCCGAGAGGUAGUGCAUGGCCGCCGUCAGCUCGUGCCGUAAGGUGUCCUGUUAAGUCAGGCAACGAGCGAGACCUGUGUUUACAAUUGCUAACAACUUUAAUAAAGGAUUGAGCACAUUGUAAGAACUGCCCUGGAAACAGGGAGGAAGGUGCAGGCUACGGUAGGUCUGUAUGCUCCGAAUCCUCUGGGCUACACGCGCGCAACAAUGGUAAGGACAAUAGGAUACAACUCCGAAAGGAGAAGUUAACCCCAAAAACCUUAUCUUAGUCCAGAUUGAGGACUGUAACUUGUCCUCAUGACGUUGGAAUCCCUAGUAAUCAGACGUCAUCAUCGUCUGGUGAAUAUGUCCCUGCUCCUUGCACACACCGCCCGUCAAACCACCCGAGUAGGGUUUAGAUGAGGCCUUAUUUUUAAUGAGUUCGAAUCUAAGCUCCGCGAGGAGGGUUAAGUCGUCACAAGGUA